RNAcentral lists this ribosomal RNA (244 nucleotides) under uncultured bacterium. RNAcentral describes it as "partial 16S ribosomal RNA". It matches the Rfam family "Bacterial small subunit ribosomal RNA", at positions 1256 to 1500 of the family's 1533-position model. The record is from RNAcentral.
CGCGAGGUAGAGCAAAUCUCAAAAAGACAUCUCAGUUCAGAUUGCAGGCUGCAACUCGCCUGCAUGAAGUCGGAAUUGCUAGUAAUCGUAGGUCAGCAUACUACGGUGAAUACGUUCCCGGGCCUUGUACACACCGCCCGUCAAACCAUGAGAGUUGGCAACACCCGAAGUCGGUAGUCUAACCGCAAGGAGGACGCCGCCGAAGGUGGGGUUGAUGAUUAGGGUUAAGUCGUAACAAGGUAUC